RNAcentral lists this ribosomal RNA (328 nucleotides) under uncultured eukaryote. RNAcentral describes it as "partial 18S ribosomal RNA". It matches the Rfam family "Eukaryotic small subunit ribosomal RNA", at positions 1470 to 1796 of the family's 1831-position model. The record is from RNAcentral.
CCCUUAGAUGUCCGGGGCUGCACGCGCGCUACACUGAAGGAAUCAGCGUGCUAAAACCAUUGUCGAAAGGCAUUGGUAAACCCAUUAAAAUCCUACGUGAUUGGGAUCGGGAAUUGCAAUUAUUUCCCUUGAACGAGGAAUUCCCAGUAAGUGUGGGUCAUAAGCUCGCGUUGAUUACGUCCCUGCCCUUUGUACACACCGCCCGUCGCUGCCCGGGACUGAGCUGUUUCGAGAAAAGCGGGGACUGCUGCUGUCGGGGCUUUCGGGCCUUGGCUUCGGUGGAAACCGCUUUAAUCGCAGUGGCUUGAACCGGGCAAAAGUCGUAACA